GUACACUCCUACGGGAGGCAGCAGUGGGGAAUUUUGGACAAUGGGCGCAAGCCUGAUCCAGCCAUGCCGCGUGCGGGAAGAAGGCCUUCGGGUUGUAAACCGCUUUUGUCAGGGAAGAAAAGGUUCUGGCUAAUACCUGGGACUCAUGACGGUACCUGAAGAAUAAGCACCGGCUAACUACGUGCCAGCAGCCGCGGUAAUACGUAGGGUGCAAGCGUUAAUCGGAAUUACUGGGCGUAAAGCGUGCGCAGGCGGUUAUGCAAGACAGAGGUGAAAUCCCCGGGCUCAACCUGGGAACUGCCUUUGUGACUGCAUGGCUAGAGUACGGUAGAGGGGGAUGGAAUUCCGCGUGUAGCAGUGAAAUGCGUAGAUAUGCGGAGGAACACCGAUGGCGAAGGCAAUCCCCUGGACCUGUACUGACGCUCAUGCACGAAAGCGUGGGGAGCAAACAGGAUUAGAAACCCCUGUAGUCCCA
RNAcentral lists this ribosomal RNA (475 nucleotides) under uncultured organism. RNAcentral describes it as "partial 16S ribosomal RNA". It matches the Rfam family "Bacterial small subunit ribosomal RNA", at positions 331 to 797 of the family's 1533-position model. The record is from RNAcentral.